UACAGAGGGGGCAAGCGUUGUUCGGAAUUACUGGGCGUAAAGGGCGCGUAGGCGGCCUGCUAAGUCGAACGUGAAAUCCCCGGGCUCAACCCGGGAACUGCGUCCGAUACUGACAGGCUUGAAUCCGGGAGAGGGAUGUGGAAUUCCAGGUGUAGCGGUGAAAUGCGUAGAUAUCUGGGGGAACACCGGUGGCGAAGGCGGCAUCCUGGACCGGUUCUGACGCUGAGGCGCGAAAGCGUGGGGAGCAAACGGG
RNAcentral lists this ribosomal RNA (253 nucleotides) under uncultured bacterium. Its description in RNAcentral is "partial 16S ribosomal RNA". It matches the Rfam family "Bacterial small subunit ribosomal RNA", at positions 524 to 776 of the family's 1533-position model. The record is from RNAcentral.